Molecule: ribosomal RNA, 440 nt
Filed under: uncultured bacterium
Lineage: Bacteria
Description: partial 16S ribosomal RNA
Rfam family: Bacterial small subunit ribosomal RNA
Source: RNAcentral
CUACGGGUGGCAGCAGUGGGGGAUAUUGCACAAUGGGGGAAACCCUGAUGCAGCGACGCCGCGUGUGGGAAGACGGUCCUCUGGAUUGUAAACCACUGUCCCCAGGGACGAAGAUGACGGUACCUGGGGAGGAAGCUCCGGCUAACUACGUGCCAGCAGCCGCGGUAAUACGUAGGGGGCGAGCGUUGUCCGGAAUUACUGGGCGUAAAGAGAGCGUAGGCGGCACUACAAGUCUCAUGUGAAAUACCCGGGCUUAACUUGGGGGUUGCAUGGGAAACUGUAGAGCUUGAGUACAGGAGAGGCAAGCGGAAUUCCUAGUGUAGCGGUGAAAUGCAUAGAUAUUAGGAGGAACACCAGUGGCGAAGGCGGCUUGCUGGACUGAAACUGACGCUGAGGCUCGAAAGCGUGGGGAGCAAACAGGAUUAGAUACCCCUGUAGUC